Molecule: long non-coding RNA, 625 nt
Filed under: Mus musculus (house mouse)
Lineage: Eukaryota; Metazoa; Chordata; Mammalia; Rodentia; Muridae
Description: predicted gene 12610
Source: RNAcentral
GAGUUGCUUUCCAAAGACUAUCUCACCACUGGGAUUCAGGCUGAACAAAGGAGUUAGAUUCAAAACAGGGAUUCUCUGUAUAGCCCUGCUGUCCUGGAACUCAUGCUGCAGAUGAGGCUGACCCUUGAAGUGAGAGAGCUGCUUGCCCCUGCCUUCUUACUGCUGAGAUUAAAGGUCUGUGUAUCAUUUUUGAGAUAAACUCAGUGUAAACUAUAAGGCAAAGACAUGUUCGAAUUUAAUCUACAUAUAACACCCAGCAUGGAGAGAAUCAGAAACCAAGAGCAUGGUGUACUCAGUCUAACCCACAGGUUAUGGGCCAGAGCUUCAUAAUGAAAUAGUGAAAUGAGAAUGUAUGUUUUUUAUCAAGGAGUUCAUUGUCCUUUCUGGUACACUACACCACCCAGUGCCUAAUCUGUCUAAACAGGAGGCAGGGCUGACACAGCGACCUCCUCAUGUGGAAUCACCCGGAACCAUUUCUGUUCCAGCUCUUCUGUUUUUUGGCAAGUGCAUGUGAGUUUCUGGAUGACUUAUACUGAUUUUAGAUCAAGCAUGAGACUCAGAAUAGUUACUGGGUGACAUAAAAUGACAGAAACACCUUUGUACUGAGCGGAACUUCUGUGUUGGU